CCUGAGCUGCAGUACCUAAAGAAGAGUCAUUGUUCAUUGCUGCAGGAUCUGCAUAUUCAAAAGCAGCAACAUCUGCCCCAUCAGAUUCAUUGUCAUCAAAGUCAAAAUUCCAGGCAUUAGAAACUUCUGGCCGGCUGGCAACCUUCUCCAACCUUGUUCGACCAUGCUGCCUCUCUUCCAUUCUGUUUUCAGUAAAUUCAUCAGGUAAACUUAUAAUGAUCUGUCUCAACAGCAGUGACAAGAAAGGGAAAAGAAACAGUAAUUCUUUGAGAUUGAAAAGCUUACUCUGGGCAUUCCCAUUCUCCUGGAAGCAACUGUUUCUUUGGUUGCUUGGCAUCACAUUGUAAGCACACUUUAUUUUUGGCAAAAUUCAUGAAGUCGCACCUGGAAACAUACAGUGAACAUUAUUAGCAGCUAAGAUAAAAAACAAUGACAAAAAAAAAAAAAAAAAAAAAAAA
Molecule: non-coding RNA, 458 nt
Organism: Jatropha curcas
Lineage: Eukaryota; Viridiplantae; Streptophyta; Magnoliopsida; Malpighiales; Euphorbiaceae
Source: RefSeq, a predicted model, not a curated record